UCCUCUGUGGCGCAAUUGGCUAGCGCGUCUGACUGUUACUUGGUACUAUCCUCCAUGUUGAAAUAUGGUGGUGUAGAAUAUCCUAUGGGGCAUAUCAGGAGGUUGACAGUUCAAGCCUGUCCGGAGGAG
RNAcentral lists this transfer RNA (129 nucleotides) under Ceratocystis platani. It matches the Rfam family "tRNA". From Rfam's summary of the family: Transfer RNA (tRNA) molecules are approximately 80 nucleotides in length. Lineage: Eukaryota; Fungi; Ascomycota; Sordariomycetes; Microascales; Ceratocystidaceae. The record is from Rfam by way of RNAcentral. RNAcentral also lists the same sequence under 1 other name.